UCACUGAUUUAUAGUUUCUUAUAGCUUCAAACUGACUGACAUCUCGAAACAUUCAUUACUUAAUGUGAACUCGAGUCUUGGAAGGACUGUUGAGGCCCAUUUCAACAGCAUUGCUGCGCCUGUCACGUGACGAUCAGAGCUCGAGCGCAGCUUUAUCCAGAUGUUUCAUGGAGCAACAGCUGGUUGUUUUCUGUUUUCUGAGCUCUACUACACCAAACUAAAGAUUCAUCAAGACGACAGAAGAUGUGCUGCAUUGAAGCUACCUGCUGCUACCUGCUAACUUACCAGGUGAACCUGCUUUAUUUGUUAUUCUGUUUUCAAACACUGAAGUUUGACCUCCUUUGACCACAUCUGGCCAGGUGUUACAGAUGUGUGAUGUGCCAUGUCACCUCCACGACCACAACUACUGGAGGAGAGAGCCCAGCAGGAGCCAGAAGGGCACCAGCACCAACAAGGUUUGUCUCUAGUUUGAUUUGGAUUAAGGACAAAGAGCUACUACAGAAGGUGAGCUGUCAGUGAAGAUAUUAGAUAGUAUGAAGCACCUCCUGCUGAGGACAUGGUGGGAGGCAGACUGUGUCCCAUCCUGGGAGAAUACAGAGUCCUACAGCUCCUGCCAGGAAGUCUACAGCCCUGAAGACUGAAGUCUCUGCAGAAGUGUGGAACAGACGGGCUCACUGCCCUGCACCUCGUUCAGCAGAGAAAUAAUGGAAAGGUCUUCAUGCGCCGCCUGGAUGAUGAUGUAUUGUUCUGCUGGCUGUGCGUUCGGUUCCGCCUCGGCCCGUGCUUUACACUAAGUGAUAAGCUGCUGAAAGCAGGAAGAGACAGAGGGAGCAGGAGAGCAGCUCCAGAGCCCUCGAGGAGCCUCCGGAGAGAAGACCCCGUGACAAUGCUGCUGUCCUGCCAGACCGGAGCCCUGGCCCCCAGCCCUCCACCUCCGCCACCUGCCUCCUGUUUUUCUAUUGGUCAAAACCACUCUAUCCUAGCUCGGUGGUCACUACAUACAUUUACCCCACACUAUUGCAUCAGUCUAAAGGGUGGAGCUGAACCAGUCUGAUCGUCCGUCCACCCUCUCUGUCUCUCUAAAAGGUUCAGCAAAGGACGGCAGGAGGAAGGCAGCAGGAGAUCCAGCCCAGAGCCCUCCAGGAGCCUGUCUGGCCCGGCCCCAACAGGCCCCAGCCCGGUGGUCUCCCAUCCUCUGCUUUUAAUGCAGUGGUGGAGAUGGUUAUGGCGUGGGUGACUGACUCUCCAUACAACCCGGAGAUGUGAGCCUCCUGCAGGAGGUGCAGAGCUCCACAGCUGGAGCAGCCAGUAGCUGUAACAGUACCUCGCCCAACCACACCCACACCCACACACUCCAAACCUUUCCUUAACCACUUUCAGCUUUCAUUUCCUUCUUCCAAAACAACCCCCCCCCCCCCAAAAAACCUCCUUAGCAUGUACUGUGGAUAAGUUUUAACUAGGGCUGCACAAUUAAUCGAAAUAUUACCGAAAUCGCAAUAGUGCAAUAUCCAAAUCUUUUUUGAUUAAGGUAAAAUGUGUGACAAAACAGCAUUUUAAUGAAGUAGUGUAGUGCUGCACAGAUGUUGUUGUUCUCCAGAUGUAAGAAAACAUGUUUGUUUGGUACAGACCGCAACAAAUGUCACAUCAUCAUGAUUUUAAUAUGAUUUUUUACCAUAUCAUGGAGCCCUAGUUUUAACUCUUUCAUUUCUGUUUAGUUUGUGGAUAAGUUUUAAGCCUUUCAUUCCUCCUUCGUAUGUACAGUAGACAAGUAAUGUAAGCCUUUUAACUAUUUGAUACCUUCUACACUUUCUUGAAAAACUUAAAAAAUCUAAAGCAUAAAAAGUAAUGGUAAGUAUUCACGCUCACUCACCUUCCAAAUUUCCUUCUACAGUUUCCUAAAAAUAAAAAACAAUUAUUUUUUUUUAGGGAAAUAAAGGAAAUAUAAUGAAAAAUGACUUUCUUUUACCAAUGUGAAUAAGAAUGUUUAAAUCAUCUAGAAUAUAAAAAACAUUUAGGUAAGUAUCAAGUAUUUUAAGUACAUAAAAUGUUUCUAUUAUUAAAUAAUUCUAUCUAAUGACUUCAUGACGCAGGUAAAGGGCUUUAGGAGGGUCUACUUACAAUAUUCCAUUCCACCUGGUUUUUCCUGCAGUUCAUACGUCAGUAAUAAUGACUGUAAUAAAUAUCUGAAGCCUUUUCUACUGUGAUAAUUUUCCCAUGUUCUACCAGGUGCAUUCUUACAUUGAUAAUGUUAAUAUAUUAACUGAGUGAGUUAAAGUACACAUUAGGUGUGUUACGUGAUAGCAUGUUACACUGACUUCAGCCACUAGAGGUCAGGAGUGCAGUUUGAAAGUGUUUUGAUUUAUGAAUCUCACAGCCUGCACUUAUUUGAGCGACGUCCAGGCCCAGGUUUCAUACCUCCAGAGCUCUUGAGGCUGAAACUAAUGGAACCCCUUUUCAGUUAGUUGUUAAGUACCUGGAAAUCUUUCAUCGGUACAUAAGUAUAGAAAAGAUGAAACAGGCAUUUGGAUGGAGCAUUGUCAAGGGUGAGACUCUCCUGAAGACCUAUUAUUUUAUCAAGUGUUCAACACAGGUAAACUUGUUAUAACACAACAAGUUAAAUUUAUUUAUCAGUAGCAGUAGUAGUAUUAUUUGUUGCAGUGCUAAAACAGCUUUUGAAAGGGAAACUACAAAACAUAUUAAGAAUCUAAAAAUAAGCUAAUAAAGAUAUUGAAUUUUAACAUUAGCAGCCGUUGUGAUAAAAUUACUAACAGCUCAUAGAUGUGUUUUUAAAACAAAUUCAUUUGACUACAUAAUUUUGAUCAGCAAAAAUACUUCAGGUUUCUCUUUUUUCUAACGUUUGUCUUUGUUAAAGAAGGAAAGAGCUUGAAGGUCUGUAGGCAAUAUUCCAUUCACAAACCUUUUUGCUUUUGUUUAUAGGUCAGUUUAUAAUGACUUAAACAAUCUUUUAUAAUGAUUAAAAUAUUUUAGUUAUAUCUCAGUAUGUUAACUGAUGAACAAUUGAAACUAACUACCAGAUGUUUUAGAGCCUUAUUUUGUAGGUGGUAUAACUACAUUGCUAUAUGAACGAUAGGAAACAUAUUUGGAUGGAACAUUGUCAAAGGGUUAGGGUAAGGGAGGGUCAGACCCUCCUAAAGACCUUUCCUUCGGUUAUAGAGGUCAAAACGGACAAACUCAUUAUAACAUGACACAAAAAGUUACCACGGUACAUUGAAUGCAUCAUGAGUAGCAGUAGUAGUAUUCGUAGCAGAUUUAAUACUACUGUGGUAGUUGCAUUAGCAACAGCAGUACUAAAACACCUUUUAAAGGGAAACUAAAAAAUGUUUUAACAUCCAAUGUCCGCAGUUUUGAGCCGCAUUGCAUUCUGGUUGUGUUGCGGCUCAAUCACGGCUCCAUCAGGGUUUCAGUGCCCACAGGAAACAUGUCAGAAGUGGAGCGUCUGUUCUUCAGCAGCCACAUGUCUAAUAUAGUUUAAAGUUGUUUUGCCGACAUUUUUGGUGCUGUACAUGCAUAAAGGUCAUAGGGUCUGCUGGUAAUAUUCUAUUCUAGCUGUUUUUACCUACAGUUCAUAUGUCACUAUAAGGACUGAAAAUAUCUGAAGCUUUUGUCGCCUCCUGUGAUCACUCAUGAUGAGUGAAAAUAUCUAAAGUAUUUUACUGUGGUCAUUUCUUGUGUUUAAAGCGUUUUUAUCUCAGCAUAUUGACUGCUGAACAAGAGAACAGACAUAUGGAUUAGUCAUAUAAGUGAUUCAAGUCAAAUGAUGCUUUUCUCUCGUGCAAGUGAAUAUUGCUGUGUUUCGGCCAUAGAAGAGACAUUCAUCCCAGUCAUCAAAUUGUCCUUUGAUGGGACAGAGAUUGACUUAGUCUUUGCCCAGGUGGAACUGAAGAGCGUUCCUGAAAACCUGGACCUUCUCAAUAACAAGCUCGCUUUGAGAGCCAUCAAGCUGUGGGCCAAACGACCGUUCUGGUAGCCAGAAUUUGUCAGCUGUACCCACAUGCUACAGCGUCCACCCUGAUGACCAAAUUCUUCUUGGUCUUCUCCACGUGGUGAAUCCAAGUGACCGCUGCCACCUAAUGCCCAUCAUCACCCCAGCAUACACACAGCAGAACUCCACAUUUAACAUGUCUCCCUCCACCUUAGCCAUCAUAACAGAAGAGAUCCAACGGGUCUACAGCCUGGCAGAGAGCUGUGAGAUAUAUAAAGAGGGGAUGACCAUAUCAGCCACAUACGUGAAGAGGGAAAAUCUCAGCUGGGAGAUGCCUAAUGGCCAACGCAAAGGGAUUUUCAGUCCAAAACCAAAGACCACAGUGAGCCACCAAAUCUCUUCCCACGGUACCACCUAGUCACACACCACCUGUCAGUGCAGGCCAACCAGCCACAAAGAGGAAAGGCUGGCCUCACUCUGAGAUGCCAGCCAAGAAGAUCAAAGCUGAAAAGGAGUCAGUGUCUGUGACUAACAGCUCAUCUGUUCAAGCGUCCACAGCCAGCAAACCAGCUUCACCCUCUGUGAUUCCAGGAGCCACAGAGACCUUGUUCUCCCCAUUCAGAAACUUCACCUAAGAAGUUCAAAGCUGAUGAGGAACCAACUCCAGAGACAAAAGGCACGUGCUCUGAAGAGUCCUCUACAGGUGUCUCGCUCAGUAAGAGUCCGUCCCCCAGUGUGAGCUCACCAAGAGGCCCGGCACUCCUGAGCUUGAGACGCCGACCAAGAAAUUCAGAUUUGACCUGGUGCUAAACCGUCUUCAAAGGAGUUCUGUUAAGUUGACAUACACAAUUUCUCAGCUUGUGCUCGAUAAAUUAGGUCUUAAGAGACCCAUUUGCUGCCCUGUUCCACUGUAUACAAGAUAUUCUUAUUUUGUGACUUACUACUUGCCAUCUGUUCAGAGUCAGCCCACUGUCGAGCUGUCUGACUUGCCUCCCGGCCCCACCAACCUAUUACUGUUGUGAAAUGUGCCAUCAAACUUCAACUCAGGUCUAGCACAGAAUUAUGAAUAGAAACGUCUGAGUUCCCUCUAGCUGUAAACACGUAUUCUCUUUCCUACCUGGAAGGCUUGUUGUAAGAUAGACUGAUAGAGCUGAUGAAUGUUGUAUCUCUUCACCACAAGAGGGCAAUGAAGCCUUUCUGCCUGGCUCUUCCUCAACUGUAGCAAAGGAAUGGGUACACAGAUACACUGGUCAAAGACUUGUCACUUGGUGACAGCAAAACCUGAUGCAGGUUAGAGUUAAAGGAGCAUCUUUACCUUUAGUAAUCUUUUUAUAAAUGGAACAGCCCGGAAAAACACAAGCGCUGAGUGGUUGACAAGCCUGAAGAUUAUAUGGCUGCUUUCUCCCCCCUGACCAAGAGGAAAAACUCCAUCAUGUUUCCCAGAAGCAGCAAAUGAACCGGUGAAGCUAAAGCACUGGUGGGUCGCUACAACCCCUUCACCAGAGUCAAGGGAGAUACUGAGCGUGGUUUUCCUGCCAUUCCUCCGCUAGAACCCAGUCUAGCCUCCAUUCUGCUACCUAAAGCAACUCGAUGUGAACCUACGCCGCCAUCUGAAUGUGACCUAGUCACCGCCCGCCUCACUGACCGUGCUCACCAGUACGCUGCUUAGACAGCAACAGCCUUCAUUAACUUCUCGCCGCUCAGCCUGGUGCCCUCCCUCCUGAGCUGGAAAGUGAGAUCGGAAAAGCAAAAGCGGCUGUCCUGACUCUCUCCAAGUAACAUGUGGCUCCACAUAUCCCAGCUUCCCAAGCAAAGGACUGCUGGAUAGCCCCGUCAGCCCAGACGGGCUCUUUGGGCUGCUCAUCCACGAGGCGGUCACUCACAUUCAAGAAUUGACCGCUUCGUCAUGUCCUCAGUGUUGCCUGGCCUCCUGGUGUGACCGCUUGGAUUCCUGCUCCAAGCUCAGGCGCCCCACAGCCACUGAUGUCGCUGCGUCUCAGCCAGCUCCUGCUCAGCAUCCUCCUUCUCCUCAGCCUCCCCCAGCGGUUCAGCCUGCUCUGUGCCACACCACUGGCAAGAACAGAUGCCCAGCUUGCACCGUGUCCAACCCGCCCAUUGAGCCUCCUCAGUCAUGGUUUCUGACAAUGAUGCAGCUGCUGUCGGGGAUACCAUGGCAACUGCUGUGGUGCAGUGACACAAUCUCCCAGCUGAAUGGCUCAAUCAGACAUUUUCCAGUGAUAGGCCGUUUAGCGUUUGUGGGUUUGGCCCCUGAAUGGGAGUGCUUGGAAAGAUUAUGUCUACCUCCUGAAGUAGUAUGAACCAUUCAGUGUGUGAGAUCUCCAUCUACUACUGCCUCUUACACAGCGAAAUGGUCCACUUUUCAGUCAUGGUGUAUGGAUAGGGGCACAGAUCCCACAUCAUGCCAUCUGUCCAAUGGGUUGACUUUCUUCCAACUGUUAGCGGAUAGAAAUUUGCCUCUAUCUACAAUUAAAACAUAUGCUACGGCCAUUUCAUCCUGUCAUGAAGGCUACGGAGAGAGAUCUGUUUUUGCGCAUCUGCAGGUUGAGUGCUUUUUGAAAGGAGUCAGAAAACAGCGUCCUGUCAUGAGCUCCGGACCACACUGGCUCCACCUACAUCAGCUGAAGAAAAAGCUGGCUUAAUUGGGAGCAGAGCUCAGGUCCCACAGGUGUUAUUUACCAUGGAUGCAGACCUGAGAGAGGCCCAUGCAGGGAACAAGGGCGUGAAAGAAAAUCUUCAUGACUGCGAAUGCGUGUGAGGUUAAUCUAGGGUUACAAUACGUAACCAACGUUUUCAUGUCUCUAACCAGAAGUUUCCUUGUGUAAUGGUGCCAUCAAAUGGGUAAAAGCGUAAUGGCAUAGGAUCGUGUUUUUAAUUCCAUAACCAAUCAGAGACUGUCAAUGACUUCUGUGUUUUGAUUAUGGGCCAAUUGGGAAUAUCCCAGCAAACUGUCAGGAUAUUUUGAAAAUAUGAGUGAGCAGGUGAAUUUGCUCAACCUACCAGCCAUGGUGGCAGGUAAAUAAAAAUAGUGUAGCAGAGAGAUUUGUAACAUUCCACAACACAGAUUGAAUCGCGAGUCUGAUUGUUUCACUUGGACAUGAACGAGAAGACACAGAAAAACAAAGCGGCGUUUCAUUGCAGGAGUUCACAUAAUAUGCAAAAAAAGAUUCCACCUUAAAAGUUGCCGGUAGAUUCCGGUAACCUUUGAACAGCAGUCUGUAGCUAGCUAACGUUAACUAGUAGAAAUGAAAAGGCCCCAAUCCUUCCAGUCAUGAUUCAUUCUUCUGAUGUUUUUCUUUAUUUGUGGUGCAUUUGCAAAGAAACAUGUCAAAGCCAGCCUGUUAAACUUGGCCAGCUUGUGCUGCAUCCACAAUGCCUGCAGGAAAUGAAAGCUUGCUUACCGGUAACGCCGUUUUCAUAGCCUAGCCUAUUAGAUGAGCUUGACCUCUGCAUGUGCUGCAACUUUUCCUCAGAAUGGAUGUUUCCACUGCAGCUUCAUUUUUUGGCCAGCACAAAUUAGUAAAUGAAAUCAUUCACAACAUAAACUACUUGUGUUCAUUCGCCUACAAGUUAUUGCUUAAUGCAGCUAAUUACAACCUACUACCAAAAUGUAUUAAAUGUAUUAAAGAGUUGGUGCUGAAACAAAAACAUUAACAAACAAUUUUUUAAAUAAUUUUAAGUCAUUAAUGAAGUGCACAUGCCAACCAUCAUUUGGUUUCAGCUCAUAAGUGUAAGGAUUAUAUAUAUAUAUAUAUAUAUAUAUAUAUAUAUAUAUAUAUAUAUAUAUAUAUAUAUAUAACUAAAUGUUGUUUUUAGAGCUGCAAUAGUAAUGUAACAGCAAAAUCACAAUAUGAAACUCAAUAAUAUCUCACUGUAAAAUAAUCUGAAAUGUAUAUAACAUAAAUAAUAUUCCCGACAUCAAAAUACUGACUGAAGUUUAGAAUACCUGCCUACAGGUACCUCUAGGGAGGAAGGGCCAGUUUGUCUCACACUGUUUACACAAGUUUACAAGACUUAAGUCAUUUAACUUCACCUGACUUUAAUAAACAAUGUCAGGUCAGAAACAGUAAAAAAUGUGGCAAUCAUACAAACAUGACAUCAAGUGAUAUUUCUGCCAAAAGCCCUUUGAGGUAUCAAGAUGUAAAGCAUCUACAUCAGCAAAUGUUUGUUUGGUUGAGAAAUGACUGAAGAUUAACACAAUCAUUGAAAUUUCUUGUCUUGUUGGACCAAGAGUCAAAAGCCCAAAUAUUACCACACCCAAGGUUCACAGUCUCAUCUUUUGCAAGUGGAAUUACUCAUGUGAUCUGUUUUUAAGGACCUGCACCUUUGUGGAAGGCCUGUUGACACUGAAGCCCAUCAGCACUUUCAAAUGUGUAUCUUAGGUCCUUGAGGAAGCUCAAGUUUAAACUGUAGAGAAGACCAAGCAGGACUGCACACUUUUGCCACAUUUCUCAGAUCACUCUCAAAUCUUGAAGCACUUUGAGUCUCUCAAUUAUGACGCCGAAAAUUAUUUUAGAGUUGAGUUUUAACACCAUGAAAAAUGCAGGGAUGCUUCUGGUAUAUUAACUAAUUUCUUUUGCUGAAAUGAACAGUUUAGUUGAUUGUUAAGUGUCACUCACAAGUUAAUUAUUAUAUUGAGAGUACAUUUUGGUUUGUGUUCAGUGUGUGAACAGCCUGGGGAAAAUUCGUACGGAGUUCAGUAGGUCCACAGUGCUAAAUGCCCGGAGGCUUCUGGUAUUUUAACCACUUUCUUGUGUUGAAAUGGAUGGUUUAGUUGAUUACUGAGUGUAACCAGUGGUGGAAGAAGUACUCAGAUCCUUUAUUUAAGUAAAAGUAGAAAUACCAUGGUCUAAAAGUACUCGAUUACACGUAAAAGUCCUGAAUUCAAAAUGUUGUUACUUAUUGUCUGUCACAAAGAAACAGAAUUUUUUCUUUGAUAAGGCAAAAAAAAAGCACUCAUAGAAUAGGACUGAAACUGUUGAAAUAUGUACAUAAGUAUUAUCAGCUAAAUGCAUUAAAAAAAUCUAAAGUAAAAUUACUUAUGCGGAGUGGCUCCUUUCAUGGUAUUAUAUUAUUAUAGAAUAUUCUAGUAUUGUGGUUCUUAGCGAAUCAAUGUGGAGAUACUUAAAAUACAACUGGGUAGAUUAGUGGCACGUGACCUUUUUUCCAUGAUUAAGAUAAGAUGUUGACGAGCUUAAAAUAGAUCUUUGAUAAUAAAAACUAUGAUAAAAUGUAUGUUUUGUUUUCGUUGAUGAGACAGGCCUGUUCAAAAUGUUAGUUGUGCGCUGUCGGACAUUCAAAAAAUGCUUAUUUUGACACAACUGUGCAUCUAGUCUGUCUGUCAAAAUAUAAACAAUUCAUCCCUGUCAUUCAUUGAUGUGACCUGCAGAUUCCCAGAAUCCCAGGUGAUGCUGUCCCAAACUAACAAUGAAUUAAUGACAUCAACAUGGCUUCAGCGCAAAAAGCGUUUGGUCGGGAAAAAGAAUAGAUCUAUGAACACAUUUUAUUUAUAAUUCGGAAGAAAGGAAAACACAAUGGUCUGUAGUAACGGUAGACGGAGGGACUCUUUGUGGCUACAAAUUAGGUGGGAAGAAUACAAAAAACCCAAAGAGACACAGAAGGCGCAUCACCCUGCUAUUUAUGCCACGAGGGAGGUUAAGCAACAAUUCAUUUACCAGUUGGUCCUUGUCUGUCAGUGAACUUGUGAGGCAAACCUGACACAGCAGAGUGAAGAUGAAGAACAGGCCUUUGGUGGUUCUGACACCAGCCACUCCUGUGCUUCUGAA
This is a long non-coding RNA of Siniperca chuatsi (mandarin fish), 9747 nucleotides long. RefSeq lists it as uncharacterized. The record is from RefSeq and is a predicted model, not a curated record. The transcript is spliced from 12 exons. NCBI's taxonomy places the organism in Eukaryota, Metazoa, Chordata, Actinopteri, Centrarchiformes, Sinipercidae.